This 378-nucleotide ribosomal RNA is filed under the name uncultured eukaryote. RNAcentral's name for it is "partial 18S ribosomal RNA". It matches the Rfam family "Eukaryotic small subunit ribosomal RNA", at positions 592 to 976 of the family's 1831-position model. The record is from RNAcentral.
CAAUAGCGUAUAUUAAAGUUGUUGCAGUUAAAAAGCUCGUAGUUGGAUUUCUGCUAUUAUCAUUCGUUUGGCAUUUGCUAGAUCUGAAUUGUAUAAUAGCUUUCUUUUGUUGGGUGAUAUUGCACUUAAUUGUUGUAAUAUUUUACUCUCAAUACUUUUACUUUGAGCAAAUUAGAGUGUUUCAAGCAGGCUUUUGCCUUGAAUACAUUAGCAUGGAUUAAUGACAUAAGAACUCAGUUGUUGUCAUUGGUUUCACGACUGAAUUAAUGAUUAAUAGGGAUAGUUGGGGGCAUUCGUAUUUAACUGUCAGAGGUGAAAUUCUUGGAUUCGUUAAAGACGAACUACUGCGAAAGCAUUUGCCAAGGAUGUUUUCAUUAA